UGGGGACUCACAUUUCUCAAUUUCAAAACUUGCCACAAAUCUACAGUAAUCUAGACCAUGUGGUACCGUCAUAGGAUAGACAUAUAGAUCAAUGAAAUGGAAAU
This is a non-coding RNA of Ceratotherium simum simum (southern white rhinoceros), 104 nucleotides long. The record is from RefSeq and is a predicted model, not a curated record. NCBI's taxonomy places the organism in Eukaryota, Metazoa, Chordata, Mammalia, Perissodactyla, Rhinocerotidae.